Molecule: ribosomal RNA, 850 nt
Filed under: Bacillus sp. (in: firmicutes)
Lineage: Bacteria; Bacillati; Bacillota; Bacilli; Caryophanales; Bacillaceae
Description: bacterial SSU rRNA
Rfam family: Bacterial small subunit ribosomal RNA
Source: RNAcentral
ACGGGUGAGUAACACGUGGGCAACCUGCCUGUAAGACUGGGAUAACUUCGGGAAACCGGAGCUAAUACCGGAUAACCCUUUCCCUCACAUGAGGGAAAGCUGAAAGACGGUUUCGGCUGUCACUUACAGAUGGGCCCGCGGCGCAUUAGCUAGUUGGUGAGGUAAUGGCUCACCAAGGCGACGAUGCGUAGCCGACCUGAGAGGGUGAUCGGCCACACUGGGACUGAGACACGGCCCAGACUCCUACGGGAGGCAGCAGUAGGGAAUCUUCCGCAAUGGACGAAAGUCUGACGGAGCAACGCCGCGUGAACGAUGAAGGCUUUCGGGUCGUAAAGUUCUGUUGUCAGGGAAGAACAAGUACCGGAGUAACUGCCGGUACCUUGACGGUACCUGACCAGAAAGCCACGGCUAACUACGUGCCAGCAGCCGCGGUAAUACGUAGGUGGCAAGCGUUGUCCGGAAUUAUUGGGCGUAAAGCGCGCGCAGGCGGUUCCUUAAGUCUGAUGUGAAAGCCCCCGGCUCAACCGGGGAGGGUCAUUGGAAACUGGGGAACUUGAGUGCAGAAGAGGAGAGCGGAAUUCCACGUGUAGCGGUGAAAUGCGUAGAGAUGUGGAGGAACACCAGUGGCGAAGGCGGCUCUCUGGUCUGUAACUGACGCUGAGGCGCGAAAGCGUGGGGAGCGAACAGGAUUAGAUACCCUGGUAGUCCACGCCGUAAACGAUGAGUGCUAAGUGGUUAAAGGGUUUCCGCCCUUUAGUGCUGCAGCAAACGCAUUAAGCACUCCGCCUGGGGGAGUACGGCCGCAAGGCUGAAACUCAAAGGAAUUGACGGGGGCCCGCACAAGCGGUGG